Molecule: ribosomal RNA, 253 nt
Filed under: uncultured bacterium
Lineage: Bacteria
Description: partial 16S ribosomal RNA
Rfam family: Bacterial small subunit ribosomal RNA
Source: RNAcentral
UACGGAGGGUGCAAGCGUUAUCCGGAUUCACUGGGUUUAAAGGGUGCGUAGGCGGGUAGGUAAGUCAGUGGUGAAAUCCCCAAGCUUAACUUGGGAACUGCCGUUGAUACUAUCUAUCUUGAAUGUUGUGGAGGUGAGCGGAAUAUGUCAUGUAGCGGUGAAAUGCUUAGAUAUGACAUAGAACACCAAUUGCGAAGGCAGCUCGCUACACAAAUAUUGACUCUGAGGCACGAAAGCGUGGGGAUCAAACAGG